RNAcentral lists this ribosomal RNA (434 nucleotides) under uncultured Lachnospiraceae bacterium. RNAcentral describes it as "partial 16S ribosomal RNA". It matches the Rfam family "Bacterial small subunit ribosomal RNA", at positions 341 to 792 of the family's 1533-position model. The record is from RNAcentral. Lineage: Bacteria; Bacillati; Bacillota; Clostridia; Lachnospirales; Lachnospiraceae.
ACGGAAGGCAGCAGUGGGGAAUAUUGCACAAUGGGCGAAAGCCUGAUGCAGCGACGCCGCGUGAGUGAAGAAGUAUCUCGGUAUGUAAAGCUCUAUCAGCAGGGAAGAAAAUGACGGUACCUGACUAAGAAGCCCCGGCUAACUACGUGCCAGCAGCCGCGGUAAUGCGUAGGGGGCAAGCGUUAUCCGGAUUUACUGGGUGUAAAGGGAGCGUAGACGGUUUGGCAAGUCUGAAGUGAAAUGCGGGGGCUCAACUCCUGAACUGCUUUGGAAACUGUCGAACUAGAGUGCAGGAGAGGUAAGUGGAAUUCCUAGUGUAGCGGUGAAAUGCGUAGAUAUUAGGAGGAACACCAGUGGCGAAGGCGGCUUACUGGACUGUAACUGACGUUGAGGCUCGAAAGCGUGGGGAGCAAACAGGAUUAGAUACCCUGGUA